ACUUACCUAAUACAAGUAAAAAGUAUACUUGACUUCCAAUCAAGAAAUUUGUGAAAACAAGAUAAGUA
Molecule: transfer RNA, 68 nt
Filed under: Heterotermes cf. occiduus 3.12.2.AUS
Lineage: Eukaryota; Metazoa; Arthropoda; Insecta; Blattodea; Rhinotermitidae
Description: tRNA-Gly
Source: RNAcentral